CAUUUCAACAAAAUUUGAUCAUCUUCUUCUCCAAAACCAGACGUGAGCUUCUUCCAAGAUCGUGUUUGAUUUCUGAUCGAAACAAAUCAAAUAGAAAAGGGUAUACUAUGGAACAAUAGUGAGGCUCAUAUAUUUUGAAAGACAUAAAGUGUCAAGGU
Molecule: long non-coding RNA, 158 nt
Organism: Hibiscus syriacus
Lineage: Eukaryota; Viridiplantae; Streptophyta; Magnoliopsida; Malvales; Malvaceae
Exons: 2
Source: RefSeq, a predicted model, not a curated record